RNAcentral lists this ribosomal RNA (253 nucleotides) under uncultured bacterium. RNAcentral describes it as "partial 16S ribosomal RNA". It matches the Rfam family "Bacterial small subunit ribosomal RNA", at positions 524 to 776 of the family's 1533-position model. The record is from RNAcentral.
UACAGAGGUCCCAAGCGUUGUUCGGAUUCAUUGGGCGUAAAGGGUGCGUAGGUGGCGCGCUAAGUCAGGUGUGAAAUUUCGGAGCUUAACUCCGAAACUGCAUUUGAUACUGGCGUGCUUGAGGACUGGAGAGGAGACUGGAAUUUACGGUGUAGCAGUGAAAUGCGUAGAGAUCGUAAGGAAGACCAGUGGCGAAGGCGGGUCUCUGGGCAAUUCCUGACGCUGAGGCGCGAAAGCGUGGGGAGCAAACGGG